AAGGUACUACACUCUUCGAAAAUCUUAGAAAUCUUAGAAAAACCUUAAUAAUUGAUGCUGAUAAACAUUUUAAAAUAUAUAAAGUAAUUUUAAUGUGAAAAAUAUUACUUCAGCCGAGAUUCAAACGCGGAUCUCCCAUAUUCCGUGCGGACAUCUUCAUCAUUCGACCACCGAGGCUUAAGCAAUAUUCUUCGUAAUAUCGAAAAUAUAAAAUCUUUCAAACAAUCAAUCAAAAUGAGAAAACUCAUCGAACUCCUUUAUUUCGCGCUUAUUUCGAUAACUUUAGUCGUGGCACAGGAUACCUGCAUAGGACUCAGAAUGUCAUGCACAAAUGAUGAUGACUGUUGCGGAACACUUAUAUGCCAUCCAUGGGAAGAGCGACGUUGUUCCGAACAGCUUCUCUGGUUGCCCUAAUCCUCCCAACCAUGGGGAUUCGGAGGUUCAAAAGACGGAAGUAGAAUGGCAACGAAAACCUGUUCCAUAAUCAUAAAUUCGACUUCGAUUUUAUUACACAGGACUACGAUUUAAUCUUGUACUUAAUUUAAAAGUAUUUGAAAAUUCAUACAAUAAUUGGACAUAU
This is a long non-coding RNA of Mycetomoellerius zeteki, 580 nucleotides long. RefSeq lists it as uncharacterized. The transcript is spliced from 3 exons. Lineage: Eukaryota; Metazoa; Arthropoda; Insecta; Hymenoptera; Formicidae. The record is from RefSeq and is a predicted model, not a curated record.